Sardina pilchardus (European sardine) is the source of this 488-nucleotide long non-coding RNA. RefSeq lists it as uncharacterized. The transcript has 3 exons. NCBI's taxonomy places the organism in Eukaryota, Metazoa, Chordata, Actinopteri, Clupeiformes, Clupeidae. The record is from RefSeq and is a predicted model, not a curated record.
CUUAUUCAACACCUUCAUAACAAGUGUCUUUCAUAUUUGGAAGAGCACAUAUGUGUUUUAACCUGUUGCAAAUGCAUCUUAGCUCAUUCCUAAUGGGCAAUGGCCUCCAAUCCUCUCUUAGGACUCCCUAAGUAUUUUAAUGAAUCCAUCUUCCCCUACACAUGCUGCAUGUUUUCCAGAGGAAGCAAAGAUGCCAUAUUGCAUCACCGAGCCAUCAUCAUUCAACACAAGUCAGUAUGUGCAGGUGGCAGAUAUCACAGCACAUAGGAGAAGGAUAGCCCUGGAAGGACUGCCGCUUUUCUUCAGGGAAGAGUCUACAUGCCUUUUCAGGAAAUGCCUGAUGCUGUGAGGAGAGUUGGAUUUGUUGGUGAGAUGCCACAGGCAUCUAAUGUUGAAAAAGAAAUUAAGUCAUGGCUACGAAACGCGAGAGACCAGGGUGGCGGACGACGGCAGAGGUUACUACAGCAAAACAGAAACCCUGAUGCUAA